Molecule: transfer RNA, 94 nt
Filed under: Bacteroidales bacterium
Lineage: Bacteria; Pseudomonadati; Bacteroidota; Bacteroidia; Bacteroidales
Also listed under: 1 other name
Description: tRNA-Ser
Rfam family: tRNA (bases 18-87)
About the family: Transfer RNA (tRNA) molecules are approximately 80 nucleotides in length. Their secondary structure includes four short double-helical elements and three loops (D, anti-codon, and T loops). Further hydrogen bonds mediate the characteristic L-shaped molecular structure. tRNAs have two regions of fundamental functional importance: the anti-codon, which is responsible for specific mRNA codon recognition, and the 3' end, to which the tRNAs corresponding amino acid is attached (by aminoacyl-tRNA synthetases). tRNAs cope with the degeneracy of the genetic code in two manners: having more than one tRNA (with a specific anti-codon) for a particular amino acid; and 'wobble' base-pairing, i.e. permitting non-standard base-pairing at the 3rd anti-codon position.
Source: RNAcentral
UAGGAUAUAAAAUGAAAAUAUUUGAAAAAUAUAGGAAACAAAAAAAACCUGUUUUGGGAGCAGGAGGUCGUAAGUUCGAAUCUUACUACCCCGA